This is a long non-coding RNA of Globicephala melas (long-finned pilot whale), 1934 nucleotides long. RefSeq lists it as uncharacterized. NCBI's taxonomy places the organism in Eukaryota, Metazoa, Chordata, Mammalia, Artiodactyla, Delphinidae. The record is from RefSeq and is a predicted model, not a curated record.
CCCCAGGGGCGGGCCUGGCGCGCCCUCUGACCUUGCGCCACUAUUUCGUCUUAAGCUGGCCAGGUAGUCGGGGCCCUGACCGUCUUUCUGUUCUAUGGUGUUUGGGGUCGCAAACACGUGAAGCCAGACCCAUUUACCUUUGCACAAAUGGGCACCAAAAAAAAAAAAGAGAGGAAAUGCAAGCAAAUUUAUUAGGUAACCUGAGAAAAUGAAAAGCGCGCGCCAUAGAGAGGUAAUAUCUUUAAAUAAGGAAAAGAUAAAAAUGGCAUGUCACCUCCGAGAAAUCUCAUGCACAGCAAGGAGUUCCACAGAUUUUUUUUGUUCCAGGCUCCACCUCUCCACUUGGCCUGUGUUACUUAAUAUUAAUAGAAAAAAGACCUAAAAUCGCAAUAAAAGUCUCUGAUAGUGCCAACUGGCUUAGCAUCAAAAUUGAAAUACAAAAUGCAGUUUCAAAACUUUCUUGGUUCUCAGAGCUGCUAGGUAAUUAUUUCCUGUACCUCUCAACAGCACUCAUUUACUCAUUCACUUUGGUUUUGGCCGCUUAGCAUAAUAGGUAAGAAUAUGGACUCUGAAGCCAGAGAGCAUGAGUUUAAGUGCUGACUAUGCAAUUACUUAGCUGAAUGACCUUGAAUUAAUUGAUGUCUCUGUCCCUCAUCCCCCCAUCUGUAAAAUGGGGAUAAUGGUAGGACCUACUUACUAGGGUUGCUGUGGGGAUUAAUAUUUUUAAAGUGCUUAGAGCAGUUUCUGACUCAGAAUAAGAGCUUGGUAAGCUUUUGUUUAAAAAAUAAUAUUUACUAAGUUUGGCUUACUGGGUAUCAGGUAUUGGGACUAGAAUGGUGCAGCAGACAGACUCUAAAGUAACUCCCAUGAUCCCUGCCUCCUGGGUUGUGUAAUCCCCUCCCCUCGAAGGUGGGCAGGACCAUGACUCACUUCCAAUAGAAUAUGGAAAAGGUGAUGAGAUAAUCAUUCCCAUGAAUACAUUAUGCUAUAUGACAAAAGUGAUGGGAUGUCACUCCAAUUAUUAGGUUAUAUUAUUUAAGACUUUUUGCUAGCAGACUCACUUUGACUUUUUUUUUACUGGCCUUGAAGAAACAAACUGCUAUGUUGAGAACUGCCUAUGGAGAGAGCCACAUGGCAGGGAACUUCACACAUGUUCUAGGAGCUGAGAGUGGCCUCCAGCCAGUAAAAAUACAAAUAAACAAAAAACCCUUAAGUUUGCAGUCCUACAGCCAUGAGAAAAUAAAUUCUGCCAACAACUUGCCAGCUUGGAAGUGGAUUCUACUCCAAUCGAGCCUCCAGAAGAGAAUGCAGCCCAGCUGACACCUUGAUUGCACUGCAGUGAGACCUUGAAGCAGAAAACUAAGCCUUGCCCAACACCUGGAUUACAGCCUUUUGAGAGACCCUGAACCAGAUGCCCCAGUCAGAUGCUGAGGCCCUUGAUGGAUAUGCAGCAAUGAUAAGAAGAGAGCGCUUUACCACAAGCUGGAAGCCAUCUCUGAUUCAAAGUGCUGAGUGAACACUUAGUCCCCACCCCUGCUGCUCCAUGUGUAAAGAGCACCUUCAGAGGCUCACUCUUGCCAUCACUCCACGUGCUUACCUACUCAUUUCCAGAGGACCACGAGGGAACCGACAGGAAAACCCAACUACUACUGGACAGCUUUGAUGACCCUAUCACCUACUUCACAGAAUGCAGAAAUUCAGGAUGCAAUACAACUGAUUUGCUAAAGAGAUUGGGAAGGAUUUCUUAGCUUAGCUACAAAUGAGGACCAGAAUGCCUCGUGGAGUCAAAACUUGACCACACCUACUAAAUUAGCAGUGGCCCUGGGAUGUGGUCUGGGAUGAUUUCCAAACAAGUGUUAAGCAUUAUUUGUCAUGGACUUUUGGCAAUAAAAUGUUUAACUUUUUUAUUAAAGAUCACUAAGACGUUUGUCAGU